RNAcentral lists this ribosomal RNA (253 nucleotides) under uncultured bacterium. RNAcentral describes it as "partial 16S ribosomal RNA". It matches the Rfam family "Bacterial small subunit ribosomal RNA", at positions 524 to 776 of the family's 1533-position model. The record is from RNAcentral.
UACGUAGGGGGCUAGCGUUGUCCGGAAUCACUGGGCUUAAAGGGCGCGUAGGCGGGCCGGACGGUCCGCGGUGAAAUCCCCCCGCUCAACGGGGGAACGGCCGCGGAUACCGCCGGCCUCGAGGGGGGUAGGGGCGAGCGGAACGCUGGGUGGAGCGGUGAAAUGCGCAGAUAUCGGGAGGAACACCGGUGGCGAAGGCGGUUCUCUGGGCCUUACCUGACGCUGAGGAGCGAAAGCGUGGGGAGCGAACAGG